Long non-coding RNA from Dendronephthya gigantea, 594 nucleotides. RefSeq lists it as uncharacterized. The record is from RefSeq and is a predicted model, not a curated record. Lineage: Eukaryota; Metazoa; Cnidaria; Anthozoa; Malacalcyonacea; Nephtheidae. The transcript has 4 exons.
UGAAAAUGAUUAUAAAUCAAUGAAAUUGAUGGAGUUUGGAUUGGAAUCCAAGUGACAAGUAUUAAUUAAUCACUGAAAUUACUAAAUCAUACAAAUCAUCAGCCUUGAUACUGCCUCGAUUAAUUAAGGGUCGUGGUCAAACUUCAGAUGAAGAAACGGGUAUGAAGGAGCCAGUCCUUUUAAGCACGUGAAAGUCAUCACUGCAUCUUUGAAACGUAACUGACGGGAAGCCAAUUUACUUGACGUAACACUGGUGUUAAAUGGUCAUAUUUGCCUUUCGCAGUCACUAUUCUUGCAGGAAAGUUGUGUACACGUUGCAGUUUGGCGACAUUCUUGUUUCGUGUAUUCGCCUAAACAGAAGAAGAGUAAUGUACGUAAUCUGCUGGAUACUAAAGCGUUAGUUUAUUAUUGUCACAAGGGUAUGGUCAUCUAGGAUAUGUUUAAUUCGGUUAAUUUGACACAGAGAUUUCAUACAUUUCGAUACUAAACACCCAUCCAAUUCCAUCCCAAAUCGUUUGCAGCGGACAGUGGUUGUAGUUGUUUAUCAAGAAAGGACACACUGAAAUCUUGUAUUCCCUUCAACAUUUGUGGUAA